UACGAAGGGGGCUAGCGUUGUUCGGAAUUACGGGGCGUAAAGCGCACGUAGGCGGAUAUUUAAGUCAGGGGUGAAAUCCCAGAGCUCAACUCUGGAACUGCCUUUGAUACUGGGUAUCUCGAGUAUGGAAGAGGUGAGUGGAAUUCCGAGUGUAGAGGUGAAAUUCGUAGAUAUUCGGAGGAACACCAGUGGCGAAGGCGGCUCACUGGUCCAUUACUGACGCUGAGGUGCGAAAGCGUGGGGAGCAAACAGG
RNAcentral lists this ribosomal RNA (253 nucleotides) under uncultured bacterium. RNAcentral's name for it is "partial 16S ribosomal RNA". It matches the Rfam family "Bacterial small subunit ribosomal RNA", at positions 524 to 776 of the family's 1533-position model. The record is from RNAcentral.